Gilliamella apicola is the source of this 51-nucleotide non-coding RNA. NCBI's taxonomy places the organism in Bacteria, Pseudomonadati, Pseudomonadota, Gammaproteobacteria, Orbales, Orbaceae. The record is from Rfam.
AGCGCAACCUUGCCAAGGUUGAGGUCGCGAGUUCGAACCUCGUUUCCCGCU